AGGAUCACACACUACCCAGAAUGCACUUCGUCGAGACAGAUCUUGGUGGCGUUAUGAUGUGGGGAUAUCUCGGCAUCUACAAUUGCAUUUUGCUGUGGGACCUUAUAAAACGGUGUUUGGAUGUUGUAAAGACUAUUUGUCUGUGGCAGUUAGCUACUUUUUUUUCUGAUUCAAAGAUAUGGCUUAGUACAAAGAUGCAGAAAGCGAGGCUGGAAGAGCCAUGCAGCUGAUUUUUAAAAAAGCGUGAAAGAGAACAACUUUCACAGCUAAAGGAGAAAAUUGCUCAUGUCAGUCAACUUUUUAACGUUAGUUAGCUAAGUAACGUUAUUAUUCUUGCAUAUUCAAUGCUUUGCAGUUACUGGGGGUGGAAGAGUAGCCUAGUGGUUAGAGCGUUGGACUAGUAACCGGAAGGUUGCGAGGUCAAAUCCCCGAGCUGACAAGGACAACAUGGUCAAGUCCAACAUCAAUAAAAGUUCAAAGCUCAAUUAUGAUGCGGUGGAAGCAGAGCUCAAAUCCAGCACUGUUGAUAAGUAUUGUAGCUAGAAGUUAAGAAAAAUAAUGGUAUUCUUGUAUGUCAGGCACAUCUUUAUUACUAGAAUGAAUGUUUCAAUACGUGAUUGUGAAGAGCGCAAUCUUAUUGCAAUCGUGUGUUACCUUGUCAGGUCUGGUGACACUCAAUGAUAUGAAGGCCAGGGCAGGAGGCUCUUGUGAAAGAAAGAGAAAAGCAACUGGCCAAGAAAGAGCAAACAAAGGAGUUGAUGCUGAAGCUGGAGAUGAAGAGAAAGGAUGCCAGUUUAUCCUUUAAUCCUGAAGAAGAGGAGGAAGAGUGGUGUUAAUAAUAAAUCAGAUUUCCCUGCCAAGAAAAAGUAGUUAGGGAGGAACCCAGAUGUGGACACCAGUUUCCUGCCAGAACGGAACAGAGAGAUCCGGUGAAAAUAUUGCCUUCGGGAUCAUUCUGGACCCAGAUUUUAUUUUCAUGUUUAACUAUUAAUGUAUUGUCAGAUGCAUUCUCCUUUCAGAUGAAUACAUUGCAUUAACUUUAAAACAUUAGGUUACUCUUCAUUGUUACUCCUCUACCUUUUUUAAUUGAAAUUCCCCAAAGUGUUGUUUCCUAAAUCAUGAAACCAUAGUGAUCUCUUCACCAAUAACAUAACAGUCCUGUUGAAGAAAUAUUCCCAUUUGAAUUCCUAUGAAAAUGUGAUCCUAUUUUCUUUAUACAAAUAAACCUACACUUGGAUGCUGUCCACUUUGUUGAAAUAAAUUAGAUUAUAUCAA
Oncorhynchus nerka (sockeye salmon) is the source of this 1275-nucleotide long non-coding RNA. RefSeq lists it as uncharacterized. Lineage: Eukaryota; Metazoa; Chordata; Actinopteri; Salmoniformes; Salmonidae. The transcript is spliced from 5 exons. The record is from RefSeq and is a predicted model, not a curated record.